AAUUGUAAUACACUUCUCCACAACUUCGAUAUCUUAUACUUUGUAAAUACACUGUUGAGUUACUUCCAUUUUACAGAAGAGCAGCAAGACCAAAGAGUUCAAAGGUUCACAGACCUCAAAUGUUAUUUUCAUACAAAUUCCCUUUUCCACAACUGUUUAUCUUUUCUUUUAGGAGGCCUGUAUUAUGCACACACACACAAACAUGGUUUUUUGAAAUGUUUUACAUUAUUAAGUUGAUGUUUACCUGAAGCAGAUACUUAAAGGGGGAAGAGGGGAAGGGUCAUCUCUAAUUUUAUACGUUAAAU
This 305-nucleotide long non-coding RNA is filed under the name Homo sapiens (human). RNAcentral's name for it is "HSALNT0194460". The record is from RNAcentral. Lineage: Eukaryota; Metazoa; Chordata; Mammalia; Primates; Hominidae.